Molecule: RNA transcript, 6321 nt
Organism: Dicentrarchus labrax (European seabass)
Lineage: Eukaryota; Metazoa; Chordata; Actinopteri; Moronidae
Gene: pax1b
Gene name: paired box 1b
Exons: 6
Source: RefSeq, a predicted model, not a curated record
AACGAUGACACGACUUCCACCCAGAGGAGAAGGAGGAGGAGAUGGUUCAGAUCCCUGCAGACUGCAGUCGGAGUGUUCGAUGGUGGAUCGGUGAGACGCUGUGGACCCGCAGCUGAUGGAGCAGAGCUACGGGGAGGUGAACCAGCUCGGCGGGAUGUUCGUCAACGGGCGGCCGCUUCCCAACGCGGUGCGGCUGCGGAUCGUGGAGCUGGCGCAGCUCGGUAUGCGGCCCUGCGACAUCAGCCGCCAGCUGCGCGUCUCCCACGGCUGCGUGUCCAAGAUCCUGGCCCGCUAUAACGACACCGGCUCCAUCCUGCCCGGAGCCAUCGGCGGCAGCAAGCCCCGGGUCACCACCCCCGCCGUGGUGAAGAGCAUCCGGGAUUACAAGCAGGACGACCCGGGCAUCUUCGCCUGGGAGAUCCGGGACCGGCUGCUGUCGGACGGGGUGUGUGACAAGUACAACGUGCCGUCUGUGAGCUCCAUCAGCCGGAUCCUCAGGAAUAAAAUCGGGACUCUUUCACAGCCGUAUGAGAGCAGCAAACCGGCCCCGGCUCAGCUCCAGUACGGACACGUCUACCCGUACUCCUCCUACACCGGGCCCGCAGUCACCCACACCGGGGCCAGGGUCGGCGGCGGCCCUGCAGGACACGUCGGCCUGCCGCGGAGCUGGCACAACAUCCUGGGCAUCCGAGCCUUCAUGGACCCGACAGCACUGUCUGGAUCUGAUGCACACGCAGCCAAAAUGGAGGAUUGGACCAGUAUGACCAGCAUGAGAGCGUUUCCCAGUGGAAUCAGUGCAGUGGAGAAAACCAACAACGAGCCAGACCUCAAAUACCCACAGCAGACUUCAUCCAGUCUGCCUGGUUACGUCUCAGCUUGUGCGUAUUCUCCACCGAACCAGUACGGCGUGUACGGAGGUCCAGCAGCCAACUACAUGAGCACUGGACACCACUGGCAGCCCCAGUCCUGCAGUCUAUCUCCCAGUUUGACCCAGAGUCAGGCUCGUCCCGGCCCUGCAGCCCCGCUGGAGGCUGCAGAUUUCCACACUGCAGCAUCUUUCAAACUUCCACAAAGAGAUGCAGCUUCAAGCCUCAUUUCAAGUGCUCAUAAACACACAGCAGGCAGAACCAGUUGUUCAUGAAGCUCAACAAACAGAUAAUGAUCACCAGAGUUCAACAGGUCGAUAUUUAAAAGAGGACAGGAAACCUCAGGGUCCUCUGUACAAACAUCAUCCUGCUGCUCACAGAUUGUCUUCGGCCUCGUGACGACGCUGAGGAAUCACAAGAAGACGAAGAUGUGACGCUAAAAGACUGUCAGGUUUUAUUUUCUGAUAGAGCUGAAGACCUGAGAGAGAAAUCUCCUCUGACUGUUACAACUCAGCCAGGAUCAACUCCUUGCAGUGCGGUGAAGGAAAAACACAUAAAAUGCACCCAAAAAUGUAAAAUCCAUCACCAUUCGUUUUCCUUUUAACGGUCUGUUUUUUCCCCUUUAUACCCUGAACAGAAAUAAACACAGUUUUAAAGUAAUGAUUCUACAUUUUUGGGAAAUAUGAGCAUAUUUCCUGAAAUGUAGAAUUAUAGCUUUCUUGCUGAGAGUUAGAUGAGAGGAUGGAUACCACUCUCUUGCCUGUCUGUUAAACAUUACGCCACAGCAAACAGCCAGUUAGCUUAGCUUAGCAUAAAGACUGGAAACAGGGUGAAAAAGCUAGCCUGGCUUUAUCCAAAGGUAACAAAAUACACCUUCCAGCACCUCUAAAGCUCACUAAUUGACACAUUUUAUCUCAUUUUGCAAUGUUUGUAAUGUUCCAGGCUGUGCUUUCAUCCGCUCUGAUGCUGUCGUAAUUUCGAUUACAGAAAUAGUAACCAUUUGUAAAACAGCGAAUAGUUGUUUUUAAUUCGACACGCACUUUUUGUACAGAUUAAACAACCAAGCUGUUAUUUAGCGAGCUUUAGAGGCGCUGGUAGCGAGAUGUUGUUACAUUCAGACAGAGCCAGGCUUGCAGUUUUCUCCUGUUUCCAGUCUUUAUGCUAAGCUACGCUAAGCAGCUGCUCACUGUAGCUUUAUAUUUAACAAACUUGAGAGGAUCGAUCAAUAAGAUUAUCUGUUGAUUAAAGCUCCAUUCUUUUUCCAUUCUUUUGUCAUAAAAGGCAAAAAUAAAAAUUGCUAUCGGGAUUGUAUCAUCUUGUAAAAUAUUUUGGUAAAGCUGUAAGUAUAUUUUUCUAUAAAUGUGCUUAAUAAAGACAUGCAAUAGAAAAUGUAUGUCAGUAGUAUUGAGAGCACGAAGCGGGAACAGUUUUCCAGAUGUUGGAGCAGAGCAGAGAAGAAUAACAGAUGGUCAAAUAUAAUAAAUAUAUUUUUAACCUAAAGUUCAGUUAGUAAAUACACACAGUUUUUAUAGGAUCGUCUACCAUGACGUACACAGAUAUUUAUACUCAUUUAAAGUAAAGGGGUUUUGCAGAAUUGUCCAAUAUCAACAUUGUGUCUGGCAAUAAUCUGUUUUGUUACCCUGCCAUUAAGGGUUAAGCUAACACCAGCUAAUCUCCACUGCCAUGUUAACUUUAAAGGUCUAUCCUUAUUAUUUAAACUACCUGAAACAUAAUAAAUCAUAUAGAUAAUAUUUAAAAAAAACAAGUUAAAUACUUGAGCUUUAGGAUUUUCUGUUGUGGUAAAUAACUUAUUAAUACGUUUAUCUGAGAGCUUUAGUUACUAGUUACUUUACAAAUGAAGAUUUUAAAAACAAAACAUACAACAAUUUAUCAAUCAUUUAUAAUCAUUUAGGUCAUUUUGAAUGCAACGUUUUAUGCUUCCAGUUUCAUAAAGGUGGUAAGUACUUUAACUUUUAAUACCUUAAGUAUAGUUCCCUGAUAACACCUAUGUUUUCAUGAGUGAAUAAUCACCUGACAACAGGAAUCGUUGUGUUUUUGUUACCUUAGAAUUAGUCGUUGGUAUCUACAGAUGCUGCAGGACGCCUUUCAUGGAGUCCGCGACGUUGACCCUCCAUCUUUCUACAGUAACCCAGAACGGACAAACCAAACACUGGCUGUACAUACGAACAUUCAUCUUCAACUAUGCCACUAAAUCCUCCACACUGGACAUUUAAAGCAACAACAUGGAACUUUUUUUGUUGAUUCUGGCGGCCCCUGUAGAGAGCGUGUUUCUACCGCCUUGUUUCAUUGAUUUCAAGGGGAAUCCGAACAAAUCCAACCCUGUGGCAGACAUGAAGAAUAACUACAUAGAAAGAGCCAAUCUUCCUGCUGAUGGUCUUGUUUGUUUAAGUAGGUCAUAUAGAGGCAUCAGUGAGACUGUUUCAUCAGUAGUUAAAAUUGCUUGUAGUAGGUUUAAGUAACAUUUUCAGUGCAGGAUCUUUACCUUUACAUAACAAAUGAUUUUUAAAGUGUGUUAUUGGUACUAAAGGAUCAAACAGGGAAGAAAAACAACCAAACCUGGAAAACCAGCUCCAGUUUGUCACUCAUUGUCUGGUCUCUGUGCAGGUCAGGAGAGGUUUCCUGCAGGUAAAGAAAAAGGUGUAAGAUGAUCCAGCAGCAAACAGCUCAAAGUAAAUAGAGGCCGUCCAUUAAUACCUGAACAAUCUGAGUCGGGCUGAGACGCAGACUGACAGAGCAAACAUCAGCUCAUUGUUUAAAACUGCCUCUGUAGGAAGCGUUUGAGUCAUUUAGGAAGCCUGUUAAGUCCUCGUUCUGUUCAGUGAGCUGCUUUGUAUUGCUCAGUGAUUCAGCUACAAACAUCCACCUGGAGUCACUUCCAGGACUCUCAGGGAUGGACAUUAAAGGAUAAGCCCGGUAUUCCUCAGUUAUAAUGACCAAAUUAAGGAUGGAGAUCAGGAAAACGCAACAACGUUCAUUUUUAUUGAUGAAACACGAUCAAACAAAACACCAGAUUAGCAAAAUGUAUAAAGAAAAAGACAUUUAUUUUAUUAUUAUUAUUUAUAAAAUGUAAACAAAACAGUUCACAGACCAUCUUAUACCUAACACACUUGCCAUAGUUGUGCUCACACUGUUUCCUAUUGAGUUUUUUGACGAGAAAGGGUAUGAAAAAAGAGACAAAUAUAUAUAUAAUGCCUUUGAGAUGUAGCCUAGUGGAGUAGAAGUAUAAAGUUGCAUAAAAUGGAAAAUUUGUACUCUCUACUGACAUUAACAACUGGAUUAGAGCUUGUGUUUUGUACACAUGCUGCCCCUUUAACCACACCAAACCUCCCUUGUGUUUAUGUGUGUUGGUACCUGCUCAGAUAAUGUUUUGUAAUAUGACUCAUUUUCACCUUUCUGCAUAGUUGUUCUUCACACACUCAUCGCCCCCACACGCCAACCAACUGGGGUCAACGUUUGUUUCUCAGCACCAACAGAAUCAAGGCGCCGGCGCGGUGAAGAAAACUGGCUGAACGUGAAACAACAGUGAGCUGCCGAACUCACAAACCGUGCGCUCUGAUACGAUCAUAAUUAGAUCAGACGUAGUUUAAACACCUGCUGUUGCAAUAACUAUGAUGCACCAAACUUCUCUGACUUCUUGUAUGACUGUGAGUCUUGUACAACAUACACAUCCUGUUGAUGAAGUAGGCAUAGAACAAUUACUUUAAUUGAAAUACAGUAUCACAGAGUGAGUCAGUCUUGCGUAACUCGUUCAUGAUCACUAAUAUCAUCUCGGUAGCUGUUAACCACAGUUGAAUCUUGCAUUGUGAACACCUCACAUAGAUUCGUGACUGAAUGCCGUGUGGUUUCUUCUGAAUGCUUGGCUGCAGUCUUCGCCAGUGUAGCGUGGCCUUGCACAAAGCACGUUCCUGGCUUAUUACUUCAAAACCCUGUCAACAUCAGGUAUAAAUCAUGAGGGCUUAACAUGUCAGACAGGGAAUCUCCUUUAUUUUUUUUCUUUUCCUCUCACGUGAUGGAGGUUUUCUCCUCAUCGGAAUGAUUUUGCAUGUGCUUGUAAUAUUAUAUUCCAUUUCUGACAAUACAUCGUCCUAAAUGUUACACACUGGAGCUUUUAACAGCUUCAAAAACAUGUUACACAUACCCAUAAAAAACCUGCUCAAAACCCAUUAGAUACCAUUUUAGAAAUUAUUUAAAUUAUAUAUCUGUUGUGGGGCUGUCCAACUGAAAGACGCAUGAUGUUUGUCUGAUAACAGUCAUGAACUCGCUCUGUACUCAAAGUUUCCAUAAACACAAACACAACUGUCUCACUGGGGCAGAUUUAGAUACGGUUCCCAUAGAUCUCACCUCGAUAUCAUACUGCUGAAAAAACAAGUGUCUUUUGCCAUCUGAUAGCAUCUCUAAUGAAUAGCUGCCUGUGCUGCAGGAAACUGACAGACAGACAGAGAGACAUAACAAAGCUGUGAGGGAGGAGGGAACAGGUUCAUGUUGUAUGGAUAAUCACAAAUGCCAUCUGAGCUAUUUGACUGUCGUCCAUGAUGCCACACACCCUGCUGACAUGCCAUCUUUAACCUCAAACACUCCUGUAAGAUAGUUCCCUGCUGCCACCCAGGCUCUACACUUUCUUCCCGUCAGCUCAUCUUUGUGUUAUUGUGAAUGUUUUGUGUUGCUGCUUAUGGCGACUCGUGAUAGUGCCACAUGAGUAGCUUAAUGCAGAUCUCCAUCAGAGGUAUGUCGGGUGUGAUAGAGUUUUGUGGGUCUACAAAGCGUGAUAGUUUUCAAGAUUCAUGACUGGAAAGUAAGAAAAAUAUGUUCCUUCAGGUGAAGGCGUCAAAAACAACAACUAUCCCUUUCACAGUCUUCUUCAUCCUGAUACUGUUGCUUGCUUUUGGACUAUGUUUUCCAUAUUCCAUCUCAAUAGCACUGAGUUCUAGGACCAUAGGCUAGUGCUGUGACAGAUGCCUUGUGAGUAAUUCUGUUCAAACAAAGAUAAAAUCUACCCAUCAACAAAAGGUUUAAAAGGUUUAAAAAACAUAAUCAGACCGUCUCAAGUGAAUUACCUUAUCCCCCAGUCAGAUCCACGUUUAGAGGUAGAUAAUGUUACAUUGAUGUGGGGUUCCCCUAAAGGCUGUUUCAUAGUUGUGUGUCGGCUCUACGGCAAGCCUACGCCACCCCCUAUGCAAGUUACCUACGCUGUUAUGAGCAACCUGUGCGCUGGUAUGUCUGUCGAUUUGUAACUAACACUACCAAAAAGUGUCAAUCUGUCUUGUGUUUUCCUCGUGUAGUGAUAGGUGUGAACAUACAUAUCUAACCAGUAAAGGAAUCAGAAAACUAUCCCAUAAAAACUAUGUCAGAUCAAAGGUUUUCCGUCGUUUCUGCUGAUAUUCCAUUAGUUUACAGUUUGAUGUCUCACCACAAUCCCAUUAAAGAUGCAAUUUCA